GUGGAUUAGAUACCCGGGUAGUCCACGCCGUAAACGAUGGAUACUAGCUGUUCGGUAGUAAUACUGAGUGGCUAAGCGAAAGUGAUAAGUAUCCCACCUGGGGAGUACGGGCGCAAGCCUGAAACUCAAAGGAAUUGACGGGGGCCCGCACAAGCGGUGGAGCAUGUGGUUUAAUUCGAUGAUACGCGAGGAACCUUACCAGGGCUUAAAUGUAGUAUGACAGGUUUGGAAACAGACUUUUCUUCGGACAUAUUACAAGGUGCUGCACGGUCGUCGUCAGCU
This 282-nucleotide ribosomal RNA is filed under the name uncultured bacterium. RNAcentral describes it as "partial 16S ribosomal RNA". It matches the Rfam family "Bacterial small subunit ribosomal RNA", at positions 773 to 1060 of the family's 1533-position model. The record is from RNAcentral.